GUCGAGCGCGGGAAGCCUAACUGAAUCCUUCGGGAGGACGUUAGUGGAACGAGCGGCGGACGGGUGAGUAACACGUGGGUAACCUGCCUGUAAGACUGGGAUAACUCCGGGAAACCGGGGCUAAUACCGGAUAACACCUCGGAUCGCAUGAUCCGAAGUUGAAAGAUGGUUCUGCUAUCACUUACAGAUGGACCCGCGGCGCAUUAGCUAGUUGGUGAGGUAGUGGCUCACCAAGGCAACGAUGCGUAGCCGACCUGAGAGGGUGAACGGCCACACUGGGACUGAGACACGGCCCAGACUCCUACGGGAGGCAGCAGUAGGGAAUCUUCCGCAAUGGACGAAAGUCUGACGGAGCAACGCCGCGUGAACGAUGAAGGCCUUCGGGUCGUAAAGUUCUGUUGUUAGGGAAGAACAAGUACCAGAGUAACUGCUGGUACCUUGACGGUACCUAACCAGAAAGCCACGGCUAACUACGUGCCAGCAGCCGCGGUAAU
This 494-nucleotide ribosomal RNA is filed under the name uncultured bacterium. RNAcentral describes it as "bacterial SSU rRNA". It matches the Rfam family "Bacterial small subunit ribosomal RNA", at positions 61 to 524 of the family's 1533-position model. The record is from RNAcentral.